UCCAUCUCCCUCUUCCCUCUCUCGACUUCCUCCUCUCUGUUCUGGCCUCACUUUCAUUUUUCAUUGGAAAAACCGGCAGCUCCUUCCUUUGAAAGCUGAAGCCCCUUGCAGCGCCACACGUCCACGCCUCCACUUGUGUCUGUCAAUGAAAGGAGCUGUCUUCACCGAUUGUUGACUCUGUGCUGCGCGAUCUCCUCUGCCGCGCGUCUGUCCCAACGCCUGCCCUCUCCACCACCGUUUGUUUCCCCCAAGUCAACCGAAGCUCCCCACGCUGACUCACUCCGCCGAAUUACCUUCAGCAGCCCCUCACGACUUCAACCCAGCGUCCACCGAAGCCCAUCUCUGCCACGUUUGUCUCCACCAAGCGUCCCAACGUCCACUUUCCUCAGCUCUCACGCCAGCAGUUCAGUCGGCCAACCCACGCGUCUUCGAUUCAGCAGGUUUGAGUCAACAAACCGGUGGAACUCUCCCCACCGUUGACCCUUGCGGUGUCUUCGUACGCCUGCACUCCGGCCCAUCUUCUCUUCGGUUGGCCUCGGCCCAGUCCCGUAGCUGCCCAGCAUCUUUAGCUCCUUCGUCCUCUCCACGCGGCAACGAAUUCAGCCGCCUCACGUGCCAGCAUCGCCCGUAGCUGCUCCAAUUGAACCCCGUGAGUUCAGCCUCUUCUCAGAUCAGCCCAGGCAUGCGCACGUUCGGUCAGCAAACAAACCAGCCGAAGCCCUCUAUUGACCCGUGUUCCUUCCUCACGCGGGCAGCACCGAGCAAAGCAGCAGUCCACGAUUUCUUCUCCGCCAGCUCACCAUCGUCACCUGCAGUUCACGCAUUUCCUUGGCCCAACAGAAUUCAGUCUUCGGGCCCAGCAAAGCCAGCAGAUUCCAGUGUCUUCGGCCCAUCUUCUUUGCAGCAAGCAGCCCAGCGUCUUCAGUCUUGGGCCUGUGUCUCCAGCCCACGGAUCUAGCAAUUUCGGCGAGCAAGUCCAGCUCAUUGCAGCCCAGCGUUUGGACCAUCCUUCAGCAGUAAUUCGGCCCACGAUUUUAACAGUUUGUACAGCUCCUUGAGGUCAGCCCAGUCCAGCGUGGCCCAGCAAGUCUAGCCCAUCUUGGGCCCGAGAAGCAAGUCGGCCCAAGUUCGGCCGCCGUGCGUCGUCGUCGCAGUGUCCUGGUCUUCGUUUUGUGCAAGACCCUGAUGAAGAACUUGAGGAGAAAGAACCCGAAGAGGAGUACCAGAAGGAGAACUCUGAGGAUGAUCCAGAGUAGGAUCCUGAUGAGGAUUGAGACUCCACUCCUAUUUGAUGACCUUUGCCGUAGAAUCUGUUUGAGUAGAAACCAACCUUUUUAGCAUGACUGAUAUAUGUACAUGUAUGACUGAGUUGUAUAUAUGUACAUAAGGGUGUGGUUUUCAGGUUCAGAUUUCUAGUCCUACUUGUAUAUCCCAUUGCUUUAUUGUCUGGGGAUUUUUAUAA
Molecule: long non-coding RNA, 1462 nt
Organism: Eucalyptus grandis
Lineage: Eukaryota; Viridiplantae; Streptophyta; Magnoliopsida; Myrtales; Myrtaceae
Exons: 2
Source: RefSeq, a predicted model, not a curated record